GCACAAGCGGUGGAUGAUGUGGUUAAUUCGAUGCAACGCGAAAACCUUACCCACCUUUGACAUGUACGGAAUCCUUUAGAGAUAGAGGAGUGCUCGAAAGAGAGCCGUAACACAGGUGCUGCAUGGCUGUCGUCAGCUCGUGUCGUGAGAUGUAGGGUUAAGUCCCGCAACGAGCGCAACCCUUGUCUUUAAUUGCCAUCAUUGAGUUGGGCACUUUAAAGAGACUGCCGGUGUUAAACCGGAGGAAGGUGGGGAUGACGUCAAGUCCUCAUGGCCCUUAUGGGUGGGGCUACACACGUCAUACAAUGGCCGGUACAGAGGGUAGCCAACCCGCGAGGGGGAGCCAAUCCCACAAAGCCGGUCGUAGUCCGGAUCGCAGUCUGCAACUCGACUGCGUGAAGUCGGAAUCGCUAGUAAUCGCGGAUCAGCAUGUCGCGGUGAAUACGUUCCCGGGUCUU
Molecule: ribosomal RNA, 458 nt
Filed under: uncultured Lampropedia sp.
Lineage: Bacteria; Pseudomonadati; Pseudomonadota; Betaproteobacteria; Burkholderiales; Comamonadaceae
Description: bacterial SSU rRNA
Rfam family: Bacterial small subunit ribosomal RNA
Source: RNAcentral